AGUGAACGCUGGCGGUAGGCCUAACACAUGCAAGUCGAACGGCAGCACAGUAAGAGCUUGCUCUUACGGGUGGCGAGUGGCGGACGGGUGAGGAAUACAUCGGAAUCUACUUUUUCGUGGGGGAUAACGUAGGGAAACUUACGCUAAUACCGCAUACGACCUACGGGUGAAAGCAGCGGAUCUUCGGACCUUGCGCGAUUGAAUGAGCCGAUGUCGGAUUAGCUAGUUGGCGGGGUAAAGGCCCACCAAGGCGACGAUCCGUAGCUGGUCUGAGAGGAUGAUCAGCCACACUGGAACUGGGACACGGUCCAGACUCCUACGGGAGGCAGCAGUGGGGAAUAUUGGCCAAUGGGCGAAAGCCUGAUCCAGCCAUACCGCGUGGGUGAAGAAGGCCUUCGGGUUGUAAAGCCCUUUUGUUGGGAAAGAAAAGCAGCAGGUUAAUACCCCGCUGUUCUGACGGUACCAAAAGAAUAAGCACCGGCUAACUUCGU
This 491-nucleotide ribosomal RNA is filed under the name uncultured bacterium. Its description in RNAcentral is "partial 16S ribosomal RNA". It matches the Rfam family "Bacterial small subunit ribosomal RNA", at positions 29 to 506 of the family's 1533-position model. The record is from RNAcentral.